CCUACGGGGGGCAGCAGUGGGGAAUAUUGCGCAAUGGGCGAAAGCCUGACGCAGCGACGCCGCGUGAGGGAUGAAGGUCUUCGGAUCGUAAACCUCUGUCAGCAGGGAAGAACAGUCACUGUCCUAAUCAGCAGUGAAUUGACGGUACCUGCAAAGGAAGCACCGGCUAACGCCGUGCCAGCAGCCGCGGUAAUACGGAGGGUGCGAGCGUUAAUCGGAAUUACUGGGCGUAAAGCGCGCGUAGGCGGUAUGUCAAGUCAAGGGUGAAAUCCCCGGGCUCAACGUGGGAACUGCCUUUGAAACUGGCAAACUGGAGUGUGUGAGAGGAUAGUGGAAUUCCAGGUGUAGGGGUGAAAUGCGUAGAUAUCUGGAGGAACAUCAGUGGCGAAGGCGACUAUCUGGCACAUAACUGACGCUGAGGAGCGAAAGCGUGGGUAGCAAACAGGAUUAGAUACCCGGGUAGUC
RNAcentral lists this ribosomal RNA (465 nucleotides) under uncultured bacterium. RNAcentral's name for it is "partial 16S ribosomal RNA". It matches the Rfam family "Bacterial small subunit ribosomal RNA", at positions 338 to 795 of the family's 1533-position model. The record is from RNAcentral.